CUUUAUACUGUGAACUGCGAAUGGCUCAUUAAAUCAGUUAUCGUUUAUUUGAUAGUACCUUACUACAUGGAUACCUGUGGUAAUUCUAGAGCUAAUACAUGCUAAAAACCCCGACUUCAGGAAGGGGUGUAUUUAUUAGAUAAAAAACCAACGCCCUUCGGGGCUCCUUGGUGAAUCAUAAUAACUUAACGAAUCGCAUGGCCUUGCGCCGGCGAUGGUUCAUUCAAAUUUCUGCCCUAUCAACUUUCGAUGGUAGGAUAGUGGCCUACCAUGGUGGCAACGGGUAACGGGGAAUUAGGGUUCGAUUCCGGAGAGGGAGCCUGAGAAACGGCUACCACAUCCAAGGAAGGCAGCAGGCGCGCAAAUUACCCAAUCCCGAUACGGGGAGGUAGUGACAAUAAAUACUGAUACGGGGCUCUUUUGGGUCUCGUAAUUGGAAUGAGAACAAUUUAAAUCCCUUAACGAGGAACAAUUGGAGGGCAAGUCUGGUGCCAGCAGCCGCGGUAAUUCCAGCUCCAAUAGCGUAUAUUAAAGUUGUUGCAGUUAAAAAGCUCGUAGUUGAACCUUGGGUCUGGCUGGCCGGUCCGCCUCACCGCGAGUACUGGUCCGGCUGGACCUUUCCUUCUGGGGAACCUCAUGGCCUUCACUGGCUGUGGGGGGAACCAGGACUUUUACUGUGAAAAAAUUAGAGUGUUCAAAGCAGGCCUUUGCUCGAAUACAUUAGCAUGGAAUAAUAGAAUAGGACGUGCGGUUCUAUUUUGUUGGUUUCUAGGACCGCCGUAAUGAUUAAUAGGGAUAGUCGGGGGCGUCAGUAUUCAGCUGUCAGAGGUGAAAUUCUUGGAUUUGCUGAAGACUAACUACUGCGAAAGCAUUCGCCAAGGAUGUUUUCAUUAAUCAGGGAACGAAAGUUAGGGGAUCGAAGACGAUCAGAUACCGUCGUAGUCUUAACCAUAAACUAUGCCGACUAGGGAUCGGACGGGAUUCUAUGAUGACCCGUUCGGCACCUUACGAGAAAUC
RNAcentral lists this ribosomal RNA (1017 nucleotides) under Penicillium javanicum. Its description in RNAcentral is "SSU rRNA". It matches the Rfam family "Eukaryotic small subunit ribosomal RNA", at positions 72 to 1099 of the family's 1831-position model. The record is from RNAcentral. Lineage: Eukaryota; Fungi; Ascomycota; Eurotiomycetes; Eurotiales; Aspergillaceae.